RNAcentral lists this transfer RNA (77 nucleotides) under Sphaerodactylus townsendi. Its description in RNAcentral is "tRNA-Ala". The record is from RNAcentral. Lineage: Eukaryota; Metazoa; Chordata; Lepidosauria; Squamata; Sphaerodactylidae.
GGGGAGGGUUAUGACUCAGUGGAAGAGCCUCUGCUUUGCAUGCUAGGAGGUCCCAGGUUAAAACGCUGGCUUCUCCU